RNAcentral lists this long non-coding RNA (483 nucleotides) under Nicotiana benthamiana. RNAcentral describes it as "long non-coding RNA (NBEN_LNC011580)". Lineage: Eukaryota; Viridiplantae; Streptophyta; Magnoliopsida; Solanales; Solanaceae. The record is from RNAcentral.
AAUAUUGUUCCAUUGAAUCCUCUUAGAUUAAGUUUGAAGUCCAGUUUUAGAUCACAUUCUCAGUCAUAGAAGAUCAAAAAUUGUUUGAGUAUUUUUGCAUCUCAUUUGUUCAAAUUCAGAGUGGUCAGGGUUGAUUUCGAGUGUGUUUAGGUCCAAUCAGAUUUGUUAUGGUUUGUUGUUGUUUACUCUUCUGCAAAUUAUUUCUAGGCGAUUGUGACAGUUUUGGGAGUGAAAUUGAUCCAGUUGCUAUGCUUUUGACUGAUGUUUGUUGAAUGUUGCCGCUGACUUCUCCUUCUUCUUUUUUAGUUCAAAAUUCCAGGUAUAUACUUGGCCUCCAGUAGUAUGUAAUGCCUGGAACAACAUGUUUGAGGAUAAAUAAUAUAUCCUGGAUCAUUGCUUUCAUGAGUUUCCUUUCGUUUUCAUUUAAUUUAGAUGUGUAAUGUGUUUGAUUGAUUUGAAUACUGCCUCAUUUGUAACGAUGGG